Molecule: transfer RNA, 56 nt
Filed under: Urocitellus parryii (Arctic ground squirrel)
Lineage: Eukaryota; Metazoa; Chordata; Mammalia; Rodentia; Sciuridae
Also listed under: 1 other name
Description: Spermophilus parryii (Arctic ground squirrel) tRNA
Rfam family: tRNA
About the family: Transfer RNA (tRNA) molecules are approximately 80 nucleotides in length. Their secondary structure includes four short double-helical elements and three loops (D, anti-codon, and T loops).
Source: Rfam by way of RNAcentral
AGUUCAGUGGUUGAGCAUGUGCCUAGCAUGCACAAGGCCCUGAGUUCAAUUCCCAG